CUCAUUAAUCUUCUUUUCAUUUUCAUUUCUUAGGUUUUUUAGUUCUUAAAUCUUAAAACCACAAAGAGAAAGAGUUAUUUAUAAACAAGGAAACAAAAAAGUAUAAACAGGGACACGUAAGAAACCAAAGAAACGCUUUAUUUCAACACUAAAAACUACAAACUCAACGAAUUAUAACUAUAACUAUCAUUAACCAAUCAUAAAUAGAUUGUUUAGCAAGUUAUGCAAGAUUAAAGCGAAUAAUGGUAUCAAUACCGUCUUCUCCGUCUCAUCCUCUUCUGCCGACGCAACCACCGUCAUCUUUGAUCUGAAUUAAGUAGCCUAUUAUUACCACCAAUGAUACUAAGUUACUAACUACCAUCAGGUGAGACACAUCGUCUAACUUGUCGACCAUUUCAGUCAGAACCGUGCCUAGUGAAGGUAAUUUGAAACAUUCGCUUAUGUUAAAUCAAAUUUUAUAAAUAUUUAUAGGGCAUCUAUCUAUCUCUAUCUCUAUAAUAAUAAAUGAGAGUCGCCUCUCUCCACAACCCUUAUGCAUAGGACAUUUUAUGACAGCUGGCAGCUACUCAUUCUUCAAUUCUCCUUUUAUCAUUACACGGACUAAUUAUAAAAUGUCAACGAUGGGUUCUGUUUGUCCUGACUAAAUUGGCCCAUACAAGUAUGACUUCAGUUAGACCUAGAGCUUUAGUCGACGGUAUAAACAAAUCUGAACCUUAACGAUCCCGUUUCCUUUUUCCGGCGAUGAAACGAUCAGCCGUUAUUACAUUCAAUCCUUCCAGCCCGCUAAUCCCACUGCCAGUAUAUAUGCUAGACCUUUAGAUUUGCCUUUUCAAUCUCUCUUCUUCUUCCGAUUCAUCUUUGCUUUCUCUUCUUUUAUUCAUGGCUGCUCUCAGGGGUUAUUGGAUGAUAGAGAAAAAUACAUGUUCAUAUCAGUUGAAGAGAUGAAUCUGGUUGCAGAUUACAUCAAACAUCAAGGAAGACUUAGUAUCUCGCAUCUAUCCAACAGCUGCCUGUAGACCAUGACAUCAGCUUUUUUCUAUUGCUACCAGUUGUAAAUACAGAGGACCUACAUAUCUUACGAAUGGUUGCUGGAUCUAUUGCUAUUGUGUCUGGACUUAUAGAGGAUGAUAGCUUGGGCUCACUUACACAUUCAUAACUACGAUCCUAUUUUUUUCAUCGGGUCCGGGUAGAGACCAAAGGUCUUGAGCGACCGAUCCGGAAUUACAGAGCAAUACUGCAGAGGUUUUUCUUCAAAACAGACUGAGAGUGAUCGGGGAACUAUGGAGACUCCUCCGGCUGAGCUGUAAAUUAGUGUUGCAGAUACAGUAGGAAUAACACAGAUGAUUCAGCUGAGUUCAGAAUUUUAUUUAGAAAGAAGCGUUAAUAAAGCCCACAGUCAGAUUCUUUCCAGCCCAGAAUUAGUUUCUCACGCUGAAAGACAACUUAAGGAAACCAUUCAUGAAGUUCUCCACAAAUUGUAAGAAACGAGGAAAUGAUGGAAGUUUUCGCAUUCUAAGCAAUAGGCAUAUGUGUCCUGGAAGCAUUAAAAGGAGAGAUAAAGCUUAAACUCUAAUGGAACUACGGCAGACACGGAACAGAGUUGCUCUGUAACAACCUUCAUGGGGAUAUCUACGAACGAGUGAUAAACGGGACAUGAGGCGCCUUUCACUGUCAGAUUCACACCUGGAUACUAAAAGCUGUCUGUGUUAUUCUUAUGUUGAAAAAAUAAUCGAAUUUUUUUACCCAUUUUCCAUAACCCUAUUGUAUGAUUCCACUUUUUUAGUUUUGACAUACAAGUAAUUUUUGAAUGAUAGAACAAGGGUGAGUCA
Long non-coding RNA from Brassica napus (rape), 1829 nucleotides. RefSeq lists it as uncharacterized. The transcript has 4 exons. The record is from RefSeq and is a predicted model, not a curated record. NCBI's taxonomy places the organism in Eukaryota, Viridiplantae, Streptophyta, Magnoliopsida, Brassicales, Brassicaceae.